AGAAUCAACGCUGGCGGCGUGCCUAACACAUGCAAGUCGAACGAGAAAGGGGAGCAAUCCCUGAGUAAAGUGGCGACCGGGUGAGUAACACGUGACUAACCUACCUUCGAGUGGGGGAUAACCUCGGGAAACCGAGGCUAAUACCGCAUAACAUCGUGAGAUCAAAGCAGUAAUGCGCUGGAAGAGGGGGUCGCGGCUGAUUAGCUAGUUGGCGGGGUAAUGGCCCACCAAGGCGAAGAUCGGUAGCCGGCCUGAGAGGGCGCACGGCCACACUGGAACUGAAACACGGUCCAGACUCCUACGGGAGGCAGCAGUGGGAAUUUUGCGCAAUGGGGGAAACCCUGACGCAGCAACGCCGCGUGGAGGAUGAAGUCCCGUUGGGACGUAAACUCCUUUCGACCAAGACGAUAAUGACGGUACUGGUGGAAGAAGCACCGGCUAACUCUGUGCCAGCAGCCGC
RNAcentral lists this ribosomal RNA (460 nucleotides) under uncultured bacterium. Its description in RNAcentral is "SSU rRNA". It matches the Rfam family "Bacterial small subunit ribosomal RNA", at positions 26 to 518 of the family's 1533-position model. The record is from RNAcentral.